AAUGACUUUGUAUCACUGUGGUGGACUUUUGGUGGAGGAACCAGACUGAAUGUUAACUUGGGUCGAGCCGGCCCCACCCUGACGGUGCUGCCCCCCUCCAGGGAGGAGCUGCUGAAGGGGAAGGCCACGCUCAUGUGCCUGGCCAACAAGGGCUUCCCCUCAGACUGGAGUCUGGCCUGGAAGGUGGACGGCAGCAGCAGCAGCAGCUGGGAGGAGAGCAGGAGCCCCGGGGUGCUGGGGAAGGACGGCAAGUACAGCUGGAGCAGCACCCUGAGGCUCCCUAAAGACCAGUGGGAGAAGGUGGGCUCUGUGACCUGUGAGGCCACCCAGGGCUCCCAGACUCCGCUCUCAGAGACACUGAGGAGAGACCAGUGUUCCCAGUCCUGACCUGACUCACUGGGACUCUGCUACUGGUUUCACUCUGAUACUGAUCUCAGUCUGCUCUCUGCUACUCUCUCUCU
Non-coding RNA from Perca fluviatilis (European perch), 461 nucleotides. NCBI's taxonomy places the organism in Eukaryota, Metazoa, Chordata, Actinopteri, Perciformes, Percidae. The record is from the annotation of a RefSeq genome assembly.